GACGAACGCUGGCGGCGUGCCUAAUACAUGCAAGUCGAGCGGACGAUUCGAAAGCUUGCUUUUGAAUCGUUAGCGGCGGACGGGUGAGUAACACGUGGGCAACCUGCCCUGUAGACGGGGAUAACACCGAGAAAUCGGUGCUAAUACCGGAUAACACGAAAUGUCGCAUGACGUUUCGUUGAAAGGCGGCGCAAGCUGCCGCUACAGGAUGGGCCCGCGGCGCAUUAGCUAGUUGGUGAGGUAACGGCUCACCAAGGCGACGAUGCGUAGCCGACCUGAGAGGGUGAUCGGCCACACUGGGACUGAGACACGGCCCAGACUCCUACGGGAGGCAGCAGUAGGGAAUCUUCCGCAAUGGACGAAAGUCUGACGGAGCAACGCCGCGUGAGCGAAGAAGGCCUUCGGGUCGUAAAGCUCUGUUGUUAGGGAAGGACAAGUAACGUAGUAACUGACGUUACUAUGACGGUACCUAACGAGAAAGCCACGGCUAACUACGUG
This 498-nucleotide ribosomal RNA is filed under the name uncultured bacterium. RNAcentral's name for it is "partial 16S ribosomal RNA". It matches the Rfam family "Bacterial small subunit ribosomal RNA", at positions 28 to 507 of the family's 1533-position model. The record is from RNAcentral.